RNAcentral lists this ribosomal RNA (450 nucleotides) under uncultured bacterium. RNAcentral describes it as "partial 16S ribosomal RNA". It matches the Rfam family "Bacterial small subunit ribosomal RNA", at positions 29 to 523 of the family's 1533-position model. The record is from RNAcentral.
AACGAACGCUGGCGGCAGGCUAACACAUGCAAGUCGAACGGGUGCAGCAAUGCAUCAGUGGCAGACGGGUGAGUAACCCGUGGGAACCUUCCUAGGGGUACGGAACAACUCAGGGAAACUUGAGCUAAUACCGUAUACGUCCGUGAGGAGAAAGAUUUAUCGCCCUUAGACGGGCCCGCGUCGGAUUAGCUAGUUGGUGGGGUAACGGCCUACCAAGGCGACGAUCCGUAGCUGAUCUUAGAGGAUGAUCAGCCACACUGGGACUGAGACACGGCCCAGACUCCUACGGGAGGCAGCAGUGGGGAAUCUUGGACAAUGGGCGCAAGCCUGAUCCAGCCAUGCCGCGUGAGUGAAGAAGGUCUUCGGAUUGUAAAGCUCUUUUGCCAGGGACGAUAAUGACGGUACCUGGAGAAUAAGCCCCGGCAAACUUCGUGCCAGCCGCCGCGGUAA